Long non-coding RNA from Carassius auratus (goldfish), 3112 nucleotides. RefSeq lists it as uncharacterized. NCBI's taxonomy places the organism in Eukaryota, Metazoa, Chordata, Actinopteri, Cypriniformes, Cyprinidae. The transcript is spliced from 2 exons. The record is from RefSeq and is a predicted model, not a curated record.
CCUGAUUGUGUACGUUUUGAUAGUUUGUUUUUUCGAUUGAAACACAAAACAAAAUAACGAGAAACCACCUGUUUUUCGUUUGUAGUUUCAAACCAAAAUCAAAGAAACAGUAAAAAAAGAGCCGUUCUCUCGUUUUUGGUUCUAAAUCCAAAAACGAAAAAUGACAAAACCAAAAUCAAAUAACGGUCCGAUUUUGGUUUUUUGAAAUUCCUUUUUCCAUUUUUUCGUUUGAAGAUCUACAUUGAAAUACAGACAGGUUGGCCACGUGACCCGGAAGGAAUAGUAAAUAUGGCCUAUCAAAAUAAAAGCCAAGCUUUUAGAACGGUCAUAAUAUGCAGCGCUAACGUUAUACGAGAGUAACCUUAGAAGAAGAAAAAUCUAUUAAUAAAUAGCCUUAUAUAAACCUGGACCGGAAUAAAUAUGUUAGCAACAGUAGUUUAUUACAGCUAUUUAAUAUCGUGCCUAUCCAGACAUCACCAGUCACGUUUAAUGAGCGCAUUGUUUGGCUCAAUACAGUUGGUAAUAUAGGUUAACCUAAGAACUUAUUGUGUGUGCAGAGUUGUUACUGUUAGCGCUAUAUUAUAUAAUAAAAUUUAUAUUUAAUGUGGUUUCCACCGUAAUGGAUAACUGUUCCCCCUUUCUACCAGCAGGUGGCAGUAUUUAAAUGACUGACUGUAUGGUGUCUUUGGUAACUGUUUUAAAUCAAGAUUACUGAUACAGAUGUAUUUAUUGUUGUUCAUUGUAUUUUGUUUUUAUUUGCCUAGUUAUCAUCAUCAUCAUCAUCAUUCACCCAGCCCAGAGUUAAACCUGCUUCUGUUUUAACCUGAUUAUAACACUGCACUGCUAUCAGCUUCUUAUAGCAGCUCAGACAAAAAAACUCACAUCAGACAUGUCCUAAUCCUAAUGUAGGCCAUCUAGCCAAAAUAAUGAUUUACCAGUGUGCUAUAUACUGUGUGAAUCUUUCUUCUCUAUACACAUUCCAGUUUGUAUAACAUACAAAACUCUGAUUGUGUCAUGCCAGUGAAGAGAAUCCAUAAAAGUCUUAAAAUUUUCUAUAGCACAUACAUGCUUUCAAGGGCAUUGCAUGUACAAUCAAUGGCUGCAGAACAUUUGUUAAGCCCUAAGGAAAGAACAUUUUACAAGGUCCUCAAAAGAAAACCCCAAAACAUAAUUACAUUACUAAAAACAGGCUGUCAACGCUGAUUACAUCAGCAAUAACUGCAACAAAACGUUUCCAGUAACUUUUGAUACGUCCUGCUUAUUGACUUGGACGUAUCUUUGCCCGUUCCUCUGUACAGAACAGCUUCAACUCUUGGAUGUUGGUGGGUUUCCUCACAUGAGCUGCUUGCUUCCUCAUCCUUCCACAACAUUUCAAUCAUUUUAAGGUCAUAACUUUUGACUCUGCCUUUCCAAAACAUUCACUUUAUUCUUCUUUAAGGUAGGUGGGUAUAUUUUGUCACAAUAUAAUAUAUAUAAUAGUAUAAAGUAUAAAUUGAGUUUGUAUCUCCCUUCUGGUACAUAGCAGACAUUAUCAGGCUAAUAUAGAAGCAAUUAUAAAAAUGGUAAACAUAAAUAAACUAUGAUCAGUGGAGCAGUGCUGAGGAUGAACUAUAGUUUAAGAGUCUGAUAGCUUGGGGGGAAAUGUUGCUCUGCAGUUGGUGCGGCAGCAGAAACUUCUAUAUCUCUUCCCAGAAGGCAGCAGGAUGAACAGGCUGUGGCUGGAUGUGAUGGAAAACCCAGUUGUGGCACCGUGCUGCCGCAGCCUCGUUGGAUGCCGGGUCUGCGUUGAGCAGUGGGCAACUACCUCGCCGCACUGCCCAAAAUGCAGGGACGAGAUGUUCCAAGAAAAAAAAAAUUCAAAUUACAGGGAUGGGGGAGAUUGUGAAUGUUUUGAAAGACACUAUUAGUUAGGAGAUUGUUUUAGUUAGUUUUUAUUUUAGGUUUAGGUUUUAAGUUAAGUCAAAUGGUUAAGUUUGGUUAUGUUCAUCUGUUAUGUUAUUUUAUGCAAUUAAUAAAUUGUUCAAUUUUAUUUUCUAUUACUCUCACUUGCAGAACUCCUUUUGUUGUAUUCAUUUUAUGUUAUUUUAUGCAAAUAAUAAAUUAAUAUAAAUAUUUUAAUAAAAUAAAUUAUGUUCACUUUCAUGACAUACUGCUUGUUGUCUAUUAUAACACAGUAGAACCACACACCCAACUGGACUGAAGGCCUAUAUGUGAGACAUGUUUUUAAAUUUGUGAGUGUUACAGUCAACUAAAACUUCACGCAGUAUAAUAGCACAUGUAAAUCAGACAAUCAAACAUGAGGAGAAAGAGCUCAUUUUAUUGAGUAGGCUAAUGCCUUAAGCAGCUGUGCUAGGAAACGUGAUUUGUGAAAGCACAGUUGUAAUGAAAAUAAUGGAAAGUGUUUUAAUUACAGAACAUAAAGCAAUAUCUCCAUAACAGUAGCUCGCACAAAGCAGACACAGUGCGACACCUACUGGUGUCUGUAAUCGUUUUGAACUGCCCUUGAUUUUAAACUUCGUUGGAUUAUUAACGUUACAUGGAGGACUGAGAACCUUCACAUAUUAUAAAUUGUAUUAUAAACAAACUACUAUCACUAUUAGUUAACUAGCCAGUUCAAUACAUUUAUAUUAACACUUUAUAACGUGAGCGAGGUAACAGCGUGUCCUUGGGCUUUUUGAAAAUAGAUAUGAUGCGUUAGGAUAAAAUUAUAUUUGAGGACCAACACAAGUUUUACGAGGGUGUCAAUCGAAUGGCAAAGACGAGAUAGGGACUGAUAUUUUGAUGGCGGAAUCCCAAUCUCCCUCAUUAUUAGUUAGGCCUGCGCAUGACGUCACGUGGGAAUUCACGUUGAAUCGCUGUCCAUUACGGUGGAAACCACAUUAAAUAUAAAUUUAAUUAUAUAAUAUAGUGCUAACAGUAACAACUCUGCACACACAAUAAGUUAUUAGGUUAACCUAUAUUACCAACUUAUAAAACGUUUGUAAAAAGCUUGGCUUUUAUUUUGAUAGGCCAUAUUUACUAUUACUUCCGGGUCACGUGGCCAACCUGUCUGUAUUUCAAUGUAGAUCUUCAAACGAAAAAAUGGAAAAAGGAAUUUCAAAAAACCAAAAUC